GAAACGGCAACAGCUCAAAUUUGAAAUCUGGCCCUUUGGGGUCCGAGUUGUAAUUUGCAGAGGGUGUUUCGGGCACGGUGCCGGUUUAAGUCCUUUGGAACAGGGCGUCAUAGAGGGUGAGAACCCCGUAUGUGACCGGUCGCCAAACCCAUGUGAAACCCCUUCGACGAGUCGAGUUGUUUGGGAAUGCAGCUCAAAAUGGGUGGUAAAUUUCAUCUAAAGCUAAAUAUUGGCCAGAGACCGAUAGCGCACAAGUAGAGUGAUCGAAAGAUGAAAAGCACUUUGGAAAGAGAGUCAAACAGCACGUGAAAUUGUUGAAAGGGAAGCGCUUGCGACCAGACCUGCUCGCGGGUGAUCAGCGGUGCUUUUCGCGCCGUGCACUCAUCCGCGAUCAGGCCAGCAUCGGUUCAGGCGGCCGGAUAAAGACUCGGAGAAUGUAGCUCCCUCCGGGGAGUGUUAUAGCUCCUUGUGCAAUACGGCCAGCCGGGACCGAGGACCGCGCUUCGGCUAGGAUGCUGGCGUAAUGGUCGUAAGCGACCCGUCUUGAAACACGGACCAAGGAGUCUAACAUCUGUGCGAGUGUUUGGGCGUCAAACCCAUGCGCGCAAUGAAAGUGAACGUGAGGUGGGAACCCUUUCGGGGGCGCACCAUCGACCGAUCCAGAUGUCUUCGGAUGGAUUUGAGUAAGAGCACAGCUGUUGGGACCCGAAAGAUGGUGAACUAUGCCUGAAUAGGGUGAAGCCAGAGGAAACUCUGGUGGAGGCUCGCAGCGGUUCUGACGUGCAAAUCGAUCGUCAAAUUUGGGUAUAGGGGCGAAAGACUAAUCGA
RNAcentral lists this ribosomal RNA (828 nucleotides) under Psora decipiens. RNAcentral's name for it is "LSU rRNA". It matches the Rfam family "Eukaryotic large subunit ribosomal RNA", at positions 95 to 938 of the family's 3401-position model. Lineage: Eukaryota; Fungi; Ascomycota; Lecanoromycetes; Lecanorales; Psoraceae. The record is from RNAcentral.